UGGGGAAUAUUGCACAAUGGGCGCAAGCCUGAUGCAGCCAUGCCGCGUGUAUGAAGAAGGCCUUCGGGUUGUAAAGUACUUUCAGCGGGGAGGAAGGGAGUAAAGUUAAUACCUUUGCUCAUUGACGUUACCCGCAGAAGAAGCACCGGCUAACUCCGUGCCAGCAGCCGCGGUAAUACGGAGGGUGCAAGCGUUAAUCGGAAUUACUGGGCGUAAAGCGCACGCAGGCGGUCUGUCAAGUCGGAUGUGAAAUCCCCGGGCUUAACCUGGGAACUGCAUUCGAAACUGGCAGGCUAGAGUCUUGUAGAGGGGAGUAGAAUUCCAGGUGUAGCGGUGAACUGCGUAGAGAUCUGGAGGAAUACCGGUGGCGAAGGCGGCCCGCUGGACAAAGACUGACGCUCAGGUGCGAAAGCGUGGGGAGCAAACAGG
Molecule: ribosomal RNA, 429 nt
Filed under: Chloroflexota bacterium
Lineage: Bacteria; Bacillati; Chloroflexota
Description: Chloroflexi bacterium partial 16S ribosomal RNA
Rfam family: Bacterial small subunit ribosomal RNA
Source: RNAcentral